UUUCUGGCAUGAUCGAAGUCCUUGUUUGAUGAUUAUUAUUAAACCACAUUGGCAAGGAUCAAAAGCAGGCCUAAAGCAAUUUUUGCAACACGGUCAUGGCUUUAUCUUUUAAAUGAUACUGUCAUAACAUUUUAGUUCAAUUACAUUU
Small nucleolar RNA from Lucilia cuprina (Australian sheep blowfly), 148 nucleotides. The record is from Rfam. NCBI's taxonomy places the organism in Eukaryota, Metazoa, Arthropoda, Insecta, Diptera, Calliphoridae.